UAUUCAUUCAAAAUGAAAUGAAUGGAUCUCUCUCAUUCAUCAUUCGCUUACUCAGCUCCGUCAGUGCAUGCCUAAGUCACGCGUACAAGUCACAGUUCUUGGAUACAUUGUCCCAGCUUCCCAGGUAUUUGAUCUUCUUUCGAAGAAAAAAAAAUCUUAAAGAUGAGAAAGCUUGUCCUGAUUCUCUUGAUCUCGAUGUUUCUGGUAGCUGAGCUUAUGGAAGGAACAGAGGCUGAAUUCGCUCGACGCCGAAGGACCGCACCGAACGCUCGCAAAAAGAGAAAAGACAUUCUAGAAGACCAAGUUCCCAAAGCCGACAUUCUCAUCAACAGAGGGUCUAAAGCAGACGAACUAUAGCAUCCUUUUCUUCAGUCCAUCGGCAGAUGAUGAUAGGAUAUUUACUUUAUCUGCUUCAAAAUACUGGAACGAUCUACCUCUUAGAUUUAGGCAGUCUCCAUCAGCUAUUACCUUCAGAAAGGCCUUUAAAACACAUCCUUUUUGCAGUUGGUAGUUUAAGACUGUUUUUCUUAUUACAUGUAUAAAUAAUUUAUGCUAUUUUAAUUUUCAUUCACAGUAAGUGCUUAUGGGAAAAAUGCGGUAUGAGUAAUAAUAAUAAUAAUAUUCAAUCAUUAUUUGAACCCGCGAAUUCAAGUAAUAAUAAUAAUAAUAAUAAUAAUAUGUCUUGUUUACACAGGUUAGCCUCAUCAGUAUUCAUACUGUUCUCCCUGAGGGCCCUGCAAUCAAAUUAUUAAUUAUUAUUAAUUAUUAUAAAGUCAGCUUUAAUAUCGAAGAUACAUCAAACGGUCAAAAUAAUUAUCUAUUCAAAUAUGAUUACUCGUUAGUGCCCCUCGUAUAGAGUGUUUCUAUUCAAAUUUGAAUAGAAUCAGGUAUAUAUGUUUGAUGAAAGAAAAACUAAUACUUUCAAUUUUG
Strongylocentrotus purpuratus (purple sea urchin) is the source of this 930-nucleotide long non-coding RNA. RefSeq lists it as uncharacterized. NCBI's taxonomy places the organism in Eukaryota, Metazoa, Echinodermata, Echinoidea, Camarodonta, Strongylocentrotidae. The transcript has 4 exons. The record is from RefSeq and is a predicted model, not a curated record.